AAGUCCUACGGGGGGCAGCAGUGAGGAAUAUUGGUCAAUGGGCGAGAGCCUGAACCAGCCAAGUCGCGUGAGGGAGUACUGCCCUAUGGGUUAUAAACCUCUUUUGUCGGGGAGCAAAAGCCGGACGUGUCCGUCUGUGAGAGUACCCGAAGAAAAAGCAUCGGCUAACUCCGUGCCAGCAGCCGCGGUAAUACGGAGGAUGCGAGCGUUAUCCGGAUUUAUUGGGCGUAAAGCGAGUGCAGGCGGUUCAAAAAGGCUG
This 259-nucleotide ribosomal RNA is filed under the name uncultured bacterium. RNAcentral describes it as "partial 16S ribosomal RNA". It matches the Rfam family "Bacterial small subunit ribosomal RNA", at positions 334 to 591 of the family's 1533-position model. The record is from RNAcentral.